UAACCAGGUGCUCCGCAGGGUGCAGCUUUUUACGACCGCAAAGGUUGAACCCUGAACAAUUGGGGCAAGUAUGGACACAACAUUCAAGCUUGAUACAGUUCUGAAUUUGGAUUGUGAUCAAAUUUUUGACAUACUAUGGGUUUCUUACACAAAACAAAUGUCAAGAUCUUACACAUCUAUUGCACAAUAUUGUGCAAUUAAAGAUUUAUCCUUCAAACUU
This 220-nucleotide long non-coding RNA is filed under the name Mytilus galloprovincialis (Mediterranean mussel). Lineage: Eukaryota; Metazoa; Mollusca; Bivalvia; Mytilida; Mytilidae. The record is from RNAcentral.